UACGUAGGGGGCUAGCGUUGUUCGGAAUUACUGGGCGUAAAGCGCACGUAGGCGGAUACUUAAGUUAGGGGUGAAAUCCCAGAGCUCAACUCUGGAACUGCCUUUAAUACUGGGUAUCUCGAGUCCGGAAGAGGUGAGUGGAAUUCCGAGUGUAGAGGUGAAAUUCGUAGAUAUUCGGAGGAACACCAGUGGCGAAGGCGGCUCACUGGUCCGGUACUGACGCUGAGGUGCGAAAGCGUGGGGAGCAAACAGG
RNAcentral lists this ribosomal RNA (253 nucleotides) under uncultured bacterium. Its description in RNAcentral is "partial 16S ribosomal RNA". It matches the Rfam family "Bacterial small subunit ribosomal RNA", at positions 524 to 776 of the family's 1533-position model. The record is from RNAcentral.